Zonotrichia albicollis (white-throated sparrow) is the source of this 289-nucleotide non-coding RNA. Lineage: Eukaryota; Metazoa; Chordata; Aves; Passeriformes; Passerellidae. The record is from RefSeq and is a predicted model, not a curated record.
UUUGCCAAUCCUGAGCUUUCCUCACCCUUCCAGGGACUGGGAAGGACGGAAGUCUGCAAACCAUCGCGGCUCCGAGCGCGGAAUCCUGGCCGAAUGUGAUCUCACCCGCGGGGACAAUCUGAUGGACGGAGUGUUACUUGUUGUUCCAACACCAUGGCAAUGUCUCCAGGAGGAAUACAAAUCACUUGGAGCUGGGAGGCAGAGCCAGCUGAGCAGCAGGAUCUGCUCAGGCUGAAAACCCUCGGAGUGGCUGAAAUCAGCUGCGUGCUGGAAACGUUUAUUUUCCAUU